This 727-nucleotide ribosomal RNA is filed under the name uncultured bacterium. RNAcentral describes it as "bacterial SSU rRNA". It matches the Rfam family "Bacterial small subunit ribosomal RNA", at positions 1 to 725 of the family's 1533-position model. The record is from RNAcentral.
CCCUUAGAGUUUGAUCCUGGCUCAGAUUGAACGCUGGCGGCAUGCCUUACACAUGCAAGUCGAACGGUAACAGGGAGCUUGCUCCGCUGACGAGUGGCGAACGGGUGAGUAAUACAUCGGAACGUGCCCAGUAAUGGGGGAUAGCUCGGCGAAAGCCGGAUUAAUACCGCAUACGCCCUGAGGGGGAAAGUGGAGGACCGCAAGGCCUCACGUUAUUGGAGCGGCCGAUGGCUGAUUAGCUAGUUGGUAGGGUAAAGGCCUACCAAGGCGACGAUCAGUAGCUGGUCUGAGAGGACGAUCAGCCACACUGGGACUGAGACACGGCCCAGACUCCUACGGGAGGCAGCAGUGGGGAAUUUUGGACAAUGGGGGAAACCCUGAUCCAGCAAUGCCGCGUGUGCGAAGAAGGCCUUCGGGUUGUAAAGCACUUUUGUCAGGGAAGAAAUCCUUUGGGCUAAUACCCUAGGGGGAUGACGGUACCUGAAGAAUAAGCACCGGCUAACUACGUGCCAGCAGCCGCGGUAAUACGUAGGGUGCAAGCGUUAAUCGGAAUUACUGGGCGUAAAGCGUGCGCAGGCGGUUGUGUAAGACAGGUGUGAAAUCCCCGGGCUUAACCUGGGAAUUGCAUUUGUGACUGCACGACUAGAGUGUGUCAGAGGGGGGUGGAAUUCCACGUGUAGCAGUGAAAUGCGUAGAUAUGUGGAGGAACACCAAUGGCGAAGGCAGC